RNAcentral lists this ribosomal RNA (435 nucleotides) under uncultured bacterium. Its description in RNAcentral is "bacterial SSU rRNA". It matches the Rfam family "Bacterial small subunit ribosomal RNA", at positions 30 to 507 of the family's 1533-position model. The record is from RNAcentral.
AUUGAACGCUGGCGGCAUGCCUAACACAUGCAAGUCGAACGCCUGUAGCAAUACAGGAGUGGCAGACGGGUGCAUAACACGUGGGAACCUACCCUUGGGUUCGGAAUAACCGCGGGAAACUGCGGCUAAUACCGGAUACGUCCUCUGGGAGAAAGAUUUAUCGCCCUUGGAGGGGCCCGCGUCGGAUUAGCUAGUUGGUGAGGUAACGGCUCACCAAGGCGACGAUCCGUAGCUGAUCUGAGAGGAUGAUCAGCCACACUGGAACUGAGACACGGUCCAGACUCCUACGGGAGGCAGCAGUGGGGAAUAUUGGACAAUGGGGGAAACCCUGAUCCAGCAAUACCGCGUGUGUGAAGAAGGCCUGCGGGUUGUAAAGCACUUUCAGUUGGGAAGAUAAUGACGUUACCAACAGAAGAAGCACCGGCUAACUCCGUG